Molecule: ribosomal RNA, 458 nt
Filed under: uncultured bacterium
Lineage: Bacteria
Description: partial 16S ribosomal RNA
Rfam family: Bacterial small subunit ribosomal RNA
Source: RNAcentral
CCUACGGGUGGCAGCAGUGAGGAAUAUUGGUCAAUGGGCGAGAGCCUGAACCAGCCAAGUCGCGUGAGGGAGUACUGCCCUAUGGGUUGUAAACCUCUUUUGUCGGGGAGCAAAAGCCGGACGUGUCCGGCUGUGAGAGUACCCGAAGAAAAAGCAUCGGCAAACUCCGUGCCAGCCGCCGCGGUAAUACGGAGGAUGCGAGCGUUAUCCGGAUUUAUUGGGUUUAAAGGGGGCGCAGGCGGGUUUUUAAGUUAGCGGGAAAAUCGUGGGGCUCAACCCCAUCCAGCCGUUGAAACUGGGGGUCUUGAGUGUGCGAGAGGUAUGCGGAAUGCGUGGUGUAGCGGUGAAAUGCAUAGAUAUCACGCAGAACCCCGAUUGCGAAGGCAGCAUACCGGUGCACAACUGACGCUGAGGCACGAAAGCGUGGGUAUCGAACAGGAUUAGAUACCCCAGUAGUC